AGAGUUUGAUCCUGGCUCAGGACGAACGCUGGCGGCGUGCCUAAUASAUGCAAGUAGGACGCACAGUUUAUACCGUAGCUUGCUACACCAUAGACUGUGAGUUGCGAACGGGUGAGUAACGCGUAGGUAACCUACCUAUUAGAGGGGGAUAACUAUUGGAAACGAUAGCUAAUACCGCAUAACAGUAUGUAACACAUGUUAGAUGCUUGAAAGAUGCAAUUGCAUCGCUAGUAGAUGGACCUGCGUUGUAUUAGCUAGUAGGUAGGGUAAUGGCCUACCUAGGCAACGAUACAUAGCCGACCUGAGAGGGUGAUCGGCCACACUGGGACUGAGACACGGCCCAGACUCCUACGGGAGGCAGCAGUAGGGAAUCUUCGGCAAUGGGGGGAACCCUGACCGAGCAACGCCGCGUGAGUGAAGAAGGUUUUCGGAUCGUAAAGCUCUGUUGUUAAGGAAGAACGAGUGUGAGAAUGGAAAGUUCAUGCUGUGACGGUACUUAACCAGAAAGGGACGGCUAACUACGUGCCAGCAGCCGCGGUAAU
Molecule: ribosomal RNA, 542 nt
Filed under: uncultured Streptococcus sp.
Lineage: Bacteria; Bacillati; Bacillota; Bacilli; Lactobacillales; Streptococcaceae
Description: bacterial SSU rRNA
Rfam family: Bacterial small subunit ribosomal RNA
Source: RNAcentral